UACGAGGGGGGCGAGCGUUGUUCGGAAUUAUUGGGCGUAAAGGGCGCGUAGGCGGUCGGAUAAGUCUUGUGUGAAAUCUUCGGGCUCAACUCGAAGUCUGCACAGGAAACUAUCUGGCUUGAGCGUGGGAGAGGAAAGCGGAAUUCCUGGUGUAGCGGUGAAAUGCGUAGAUAUCAGGAGGAACACCUGCGGUGUAGACGGCUUUCUGGACCAUUGCUGACGCUGAGACACGAAAGCGUGGGUAGCAAACAGG
Molecule: ribosomal RNA, 253 nt
Filed under: uncultured bacterium
Lineage: Bacteria
Description: partial 16S ribosomal RNA
Rfam family: Bacterial small subunit ribosomal RNA
Source: RNAcentral